This is a long non-coding RNA of Poecile atricapillus (Black-capped chickadee), 5899 nucleotides long. RefSeq lists it as uncharacterized. NCBI's taxonomy places the organism in Eukaryota, Metazoa, Chordata, Aves, Passeriformes, Paridae. The record is from RefSeq and is a predicted model, not a curated record. The transcript has 6 exons.
CCAGAAGAUAAAGAUCAGUUUGUUUGAGGCUAUUUCCUGCAGCUGGUGCUGCACCCUCCAUCAUCAUGGUCCCAAAGCUUCCCUGGAUGGCAAGGUGCCCACAUCACACCCAGCAUCAGGGUGAACUGUGAUGACGCACUUCGGGGCAAGAGGAGGAAAGCGUGCCCUGAUUCCAGUUGUGGGCCAAAGAUCCCUUCUUUCAUCCCUGCCAGGAACUGCUGUGCUGAGCCACAACCUUGCAAAACCCUGGGCUGUGGAAUUUGCAGCGCUGCUGUGCUGACUUAUGAAGCACCUUUUUCUCCAUGAAGGAGAGGUUUCCCUUGAUUGAAAGUGAUGGCUUAAGCUCACCAGUAUGGUGUUGUAAGAUCACUGAUCACCAUCAUAAGACUGCAAACUAAAAAGCAGGCUAAAAAGCAGACUAAAGUUAAGUUGAUUUAACUCAGAAUUGAAUGUAAACUCUAGUUCCUAAAAAUUUGCACAUAUGUGGGUAAUUUUCAAUGCAGUAGAUAAAAUUUAUAUCCUUUCAUAAUUAAUUUGAUUGUUUCUAUACAACUGUGUUGGAGGACUCUAACAAAUGUGAUACUCAUGCUGUGUGAAUGUCUCAUUCAUGUGCAAGCUGUACCAAUUCAGGGUAACCACCAGUGGGAAUAAAGCACUACCUGCUGACCUGUAAACGUAAAGGGAAAAGAAAACUGAAAAAAAAAAAAAAAAGGAUCAUGUUGGUAAUGCACAUUCCAUUUUAGGAUUAAGGAAAUAGUCACUGGAAAUAAUUGUGUGUGAGUGGACUCCUCCUCUGUUGAUUUGUAUUAGAAGUGUAUGAAUUGUUUCCUUUACACCAUUGAAAUGUAGAGAAAGGAUUUCAAUGCAGACAGUUAAGUUCAUGGUAACAACCCUUAUGUUAAUGUGCAGAGGUGUACGUGGGAGCUGUAUCCUUGUGGCCUGGUCUGUUACAUGGAUCUCUGAGGACAAAAAUAUCAGGAGAUUCAGUGCCACUGAACUUACACACACUAGAAGGGUGGUGGAUUAAAAGUUGAUCCAGUGUUUUCCUUCAGCAUAGAUUGAGUCUCUUCAAGUAAAGCUUCAGGUCACUUCUGGGGCAUCAUUGCAGGUAAAUGGGCACUGUGUUUAUUAGUCUCUAUGUAGAAGGUUUCAGUUUUAAUGAUUGCAAGAUCAAAUAUUUGUCAAAAAGUGAAAAGUGAAGACCGGAGGUAUGUAUUCUAAAGUGAAAGAGGGAGGAGAAUAAUGAGUUUGAAAAGCAUAAAACACAGGCUGGUUAGUGGAAAAGAAUGCUACAAAGGUCUCUGUGUGAAUCUUCAGUUCCUGGAGUUUCUGCCAAUUCCUUUUAUUACUCUUUCAAGUAACCAGGUACAUAUGGCAUGUUUGUAAGUAAAGCAGUCAAUGAAGUUAGUUACACCUCUGCAUUUAUUACCCUACCCCUGAGUAUUAUUAACUUUUACAUUCCCCAUAAAAUAUAAUUUAUCACUUAAAUAAUUUGCUUUGUGUCAGGGUUCAGUGUGCUCCAGUGCUUUCCUGCUCAUUAAAUGAGAUAUUUUUACUUAAUGAGCCCAGAAUGUCCUUUGCAUUUAACAUUAGAAUUGAUUUCAAACACUCCAUUUUUCUAACAUAUUUGUAUGUAAUUUCAGAAUGUGGACUUCAUUCCACAGUCUUACUCUGAAGAAAAAAGAGCCACAAAGAAUAAUGACCCAUGAAUUCCGGAGAGGAACACGAUCCAGUGACAUGCUGGCAGAGCCCAGAGCAGUGCUACGAGCUUGUUUCAUGCUUGCUUACAUUAUUCAGAAGCAUUUUGCAUCUUCACCUGAGUUGGCUGAAGAGGCAUUGUCCAGCCAUCUGUAAAGGCAAGAGUGACAGCUUAUACCACUGAUUUUAAGAGUAGGGGAAGCUGAACAGACACAUAGAGAUGGAUGGGUGAAGUGAAGUAGAAUAUUACUGAAUAAUCUUCAACCUUGAAUGAGGAAAAUGAGAUACAGGAUGCCUAAUGUUUCAUUGACAUCCAUGAAAAGAGACAUGAAAAUAUCCAAAUCUCUCUCACUGGAAAAAACUUAAGGGGACCACAUGCAAAACCACAGCUCCACUGAGCAUGUCCUGGCAGGACAACAGGGAUCCCAUCCGUGCACCUGUCCUUGUGUGGCCAGAGGGAGAGGCUGUGCCUGGUGCAUCAAGAAGAAAAUGAUAUUUGGACUCUGCAUUGAGCUGGGCAAACAUGGGAACGGUGAGCAGUAUUUCAAACGCAUACCUGGAGAUCUGGAUCCAUUCAAGGCCAGGAUGGACAGGAUUUGGAGCAGCCUGAUAUAACUGAAGAUAUCCCUUUAGGGUACUUUCCAACCCAGACCAUUAUGUAAUUUUAUGGUUUAAUUUUGUUCUUGUAAAUUCUGGGAAUUUUGCUUUUUCUAUUAUUUUUCUGAGAAAUGGAGUAAAACAAGAUAGUCUGGCCAAGAGUAUCCAAUAAAUUUCUGCUGAUCUUCUCUUUAAAAGAAUUAGCCCAUGAUAUGAAAUUGAUUUUGCAAAGUUAUGUACACCUAUAAUCUAACACCCCCAGACACACCAAGAAAAAAAUACUCAUGUUAGAAGUUGCACUAGUUUUGCCAUAGCUACUGUUUUGUAGUAGAUGUUACUCAAAAUAAUUUCCCUGACAGUAAUUUUAUUUCUUGGUAAUGAUCUCAAACAAACCUCUUUGAACAAAUCUCAUAAUGAGAUCAAAUCCUGCACAACAGGAGCACUCAGACAUGAGUUGUUAUAUACCUUGUACAUUCUAUCCAGAAAUUAGCAUUUUUACAGUCUGAGCACACCUUCAAAAUCCCCUUGCUCAGGGCUGCAGGGCAGCUGAAAAAAGGUCCAGAAUCAGAUUUUCUGUCCCCAGACCUGAACUGUGUGUACACAAAACCCAGUGUCUCCACCAGCUCCAGGCUGACAUGCUGCUCGUUGCACCAGAGCAGAAUGAAUAAUCUCCAGACAUGAGUUACUGGCACAAUUAAGGCAAGAGCACAGCUGAAUGACAUGGUGAACAAAAGACCCUUGGCAAAGCUUCCACUGCAAAAGCCUAGAGAGGAAAUUCACUCUUGGCGCUGGGUGCUCACAGGUACAAGCAGGACGAACUGCUGAUUAACAAGCUUAGACUCUCAGACCAAAUUCCAAAGGAUGAAAAAUGGCAAUAACAUUCUGUUAUGUCUCUCUACAGCAUGCAAGCAAUUUUUCAUUAAGUUAGAAUCCAUAGGCAACUCCAGCAGUACAUUUUCACAGUCUAAUUGAUACAUAUGAGGCUUGGCUUGCAGCUUUCAAAAGAAGUCAGAAGCACAGAGAAUUCUGUACCAUCCAACAAGAAAAGCAAAGCUCUGUAAUAUUAGUUAUAGGUGCAGUAGAUUUUGAUGUCUCUAACACAGCUGGGUCACUCAAUAAGGCAGGCAGGACACACUUGUGCCUUGGAGGGUGCACAUUGAACUGGGCUGCUGGGGUUUCCUUAUAAAAAUGAACAUGCUGAUCCCUCCAAGAGGGCUUUAGCAGUUUGGGGGCAUGAUUUCUUCUACAACAGUCAGGCCAACCCCUCUCCGAGAAGCAUAUUUUUCUCCACAUUAAUUUUAUUCUUUUUAUAACUUCUACCAGUUUGUUUGCUGCAGCACUUCUGGUUUACUAGUCCCUAGGUCACCUCUAAGCCUUUCUCACAUAUUUUCAUCUUCUUUUUCCUUGGCUGUGGUACUGGGGUCAAUGCAUAUAAUUUAUUACACUGAGCUAUUACUGGGUAUUUCAUAUUUUAGGGAAUCCCCUCUGUUCCAAGAAUAUUAUUUUUUUGACACUUUGAUCUGAUGCAGUCUUGGAGAUACUUUUGGUCUCAUACAGGAACCUCACUGUCCUCCCUUGCUGAUUAUUGAUGCAAAUAGCAUAUUCAGGUUUCCUGCAAAGGCUUUCUCUUCCAGAACAGCUCCUUUCACAUCUCUGUCAUGUGUUGGCACCAUCAGUUCACCAAUUACCUUCUAGAUUGAGGUAAGUGAAUGCAGUUCUUAGGUUUGUAUGUUUAGCAAGUCACUCUUCAAAAUGCUGUGGGCCUGUUUAUGGUGGUUUCAGUGAACUUCUCCAAGUCUAGUCUCUUAUCUACUUUUCUCCACAGAACAGCACUUACUUUUUGAAGGAUGGCUUUUUUUGUCCUGACAACCACGUUCUCUGCCCUUUAGACACGGUAACUACUUUUGAUAUUUGAAGAGACUAUUUAGUGGUACACAUUUAAACUGGACCUUUAUUGUGCCUUUAAGCAGACUCCACAUGGAUUGUGCUAGUUGUGCUUUUUUUUUUUUUUUUUCUUAACUUUGCCAUUUUAAGGUAAAUUGUUGCCAAGCCUGAUAUUUUUUUACUUAUCCACCUGUGAGGAUUUGAAUUUGAGAAUGACAAUGUCAGGACGUAAUUCUUUUCCUUACUCUUAGAAAGUUAGCAGCUUAGCUCUGCUGAAUGUAUGUGACCUGUAAGAGGUACUGGCAUUCAGGUAUGUCAGUCAGUGUCUUAGCUCUCACUCCUCAGGGGAGCUCUUAGAGCAUCUCUGCAGAGCUAAAUGGUUGAUACACACUAGCACACGAUGCUAUCCUCUCCUCUGGCAGCUGUGAGAGAACCCUCCAAGGAACAGCCCAUGGCCAGUGAACGGCUGUGCACAAGUGCACAGUCUCCAUCUGAAGAAGCUGCAGACAAAAAUAUUACUUUGAGUUCCCAACUUUUGAAGUCCUGGGAGAAACAGUAAUUUAGUCCUUUGGUGAACCAAACCGUGCCAGGAGAGGUUUUCUGAACUCCAUGCUUUUAUAUCACUCUUGACCUGCUAGCUGAGUAACACACUGUGGCAUUAUCUGGGUUCUCCAGUGCUUACAGCAAACUGACUUCAUAAUAAAAUCAUUCACAUUCUCCUGUACAACUUCAGAUUUUGCCAGAGUGUUACGUUUCUAAUCAUGAAAAACAUGGCUUGUUUCAGAUGAUAAAGUACCCAUAAAUAAAGACUUCACAGGGGGAGGCUGACAAAUAAACUUUUUAUUUGUUGGGAAUGUAGGGGGAUGUACUUUGUGGUGACAGCACAUUGCUCAGAAGAACAGGUCAUAUGCUGCUUCCUAUUAUACCAGUGUCAACCCAGAGCAUUUCCACUGUCUAUAUUUCAACCAGUUCAACUAAGAUAAAGAUCUCUGCACAGGAUUUCAUAGCCUUUUUGCCACUGUAUAGUAUUAUUAUUAUUAAAAAAAAAAAAAAAAAAAAAAAAAGUACUGUAGGGGUCAAAUUACUUUCAAUAUUGCUUGUGAUAAUAAAAUGCACUACAAAUAGUUUUGUUUCAUCCAUUAAUAAUAAUAAAAGCAUAAAAAAGGCUGAAAUAGAUUCCAGUAAGGUAUAAAGCCCUUCUCUUUCAGCAUUUUGAAAUUUGGGCAUGUGGUACAAGGCAAUGCCUGUCACUGUGACUGUGAUGGGAAGCUAGACACUUCAGGGUAGGCACUGCCAAUUUAGGUUGCAUAAUGAUAAGGAUCAAGUCCUCUGUCCUUAGACUACUUGUACUAAAAAGAAACAAAGAUGAAAUAAUUGAAAGGAUAAUAGAGAGAAGGACUUGGUCAGAAGGACAAGUGAAGAGGUACUCAAAAAGCAUCAUGCCCCGUCCAUGUAUCCAAGAAGGACAAGAAGCAGAGGGGAAGCUCUGUGCAGGGCUGGGCUGGCAGAAUGCACACAGACAGGUCUAAGCCCAGAGUGGCUUCCAGCCUCUUCUGCUGAUCUCUGGACCUGAGUAGGGUACAGGGGCAGAUGUUCCAGGAGCCCUCCCAGCACUGGCAGUGGGGCACUGCUGGCCUGGGCUGGCUGCACUCAGCUGCCAAGGGCUGAGUUCAACUUCCGAUCCUGGAAGUUGUCCUGACCUGGAGAGGAAAAGGAAGUG